Long non-coding RNA from Miniopterus natalensis, 2141 nucleotides. RefSeq lists it as uncharacterized. Lineage: Eukaryota; Metazoa; Chordata; Mammalia; Chiroptera; Miniopteridae. The record is from RefSeq and is a predicted model, not a curated record.
GCCUCUGGCAACCACCAUCCCACUUUCUGUUUCUAUGAAUUGGACUCCUCCAGGUGCGUCGUGUAAGCGGAAUCGUACAGUAUCUGUCUUUUCGUGCCUGGCUCUUUUCACUUAGUAUGAGGCCCUAAUUAUACUUAUUUCGUAGCAUGUGUCAGAAGUUCACGCGAGUGCCUUCACCCGAGCUGCUCUCCAGGCUUCCUGGGGGUUUCCGUCAACCCUUAUGAUGAGUCCCUGUCAUGGCAUCUUGGAACCUAAAGGUUGGACAUCCUGGUAACUCCACUGGCCCUGCCGGUUACCACGAGGGUGCUCACUUUCCCCUGGAGAUUCAGCGCCGCUACUUGCUUUCCACAGCCCAGGGUCUGCACAUCCCAUGAGAACCUGGUACAGAGCAGGGGCUCGAGAAUGACUUGUUGGGUGGACGGACGCAUGGACAGACGCAUGGACGGAUAUGAGAAUACUGCGGCAGGCGGAAGAGGAGGAGCUCGUGGGCCAUGAAGCUCACUUUCCCAGCCCGUAACUCCUGGAUGUCCCCGGUUUAGUCCCCACAACGCCUCUCUGUUCACCCUCCCUCCCUGCGUGAGCUCACCCAGUGUUAUCAAUUUAACUUUCUGUCUCCGGGCACCAUCUCUCCCUUGAGCACCUGACUCACACCCAACUACUACCCAACAUUUCCACUCAAAAGUUAGUUGGCACCUCAAAUGCCACGUAUCCAAACUCUUGAUUUCUCCUCUAAAUCUUCUCCCACAGACCUUCCUAGCUCAGUAGACGGCAACCCCAUUCUUCCCCUUGCUUGGGCCCAAACCUGGGAGUCCUCCCUGAUGCCUUUUUCUCGCACAUUCCUCAUCCAGUACUUCAAAUCCUCUGGGCUCUACAUGAUGUACGGAAACCCACCAUUUCUCCCCACCUCCACCUCCCUGAUUUAAGAUACCAUCGACCUUCAAUUAGAUUAUUGCAAUAGCCUCCUGUACAGCAGAUGUUUCUCGUAACCCAUGCCACGCGUCUCUUGGCCACCUCUGGCUUCAGCCCCAGCUGCAGCAGCUAUGGGUGGGCUCAGCUGCUCUUGUGCCAACAGUGUCUGGCCUCAAGUGUGCCCCCCAUGUCCGUUUGCCUUCUGCCCUGGACGUCAACGCUGCCGGGGGCCCUCUUGGCUCCAGCACAAAGUUCACCUGUGCUGACAGCCUCGCGCCUCAAGCGUGAGCUGCACCUCUCUCUGCUUUCGGCCCCAUUGAAUCUUGAUGCUAUUGGAGCCCGCUCUACCCAGGCACCCAGAUGUGCAGCGUUAACAUCCCAGGGGCAACCUUCAACCAGCGGGGGAAGGGGCAGCUGGGGAAAUGUUCCUGCCUCCUAUCCUUCAGGUGGGUGAUUCUGGGGACCAGCCUGAGCAUUGCUCAAGGACCUUGGUAAACUCGAGCUCCUGAUGCCCACAGCAGCAACGCUGAUGAUGCAUCUUACGUUGACUUUUCUCCUUUCCUGUCUCACUGUCCCCGCCCCCUCAUGCCUGCUCUUUGGGUCAUCUCUCAGAAAAGCCAUGUGGACACAAGUCCUUGUCUCAGCCUCUGCUUUCAAGGAAACCCAAGCUAAAAUGUGUUUUCAGUUUGUUUCCCCUGCUACCCAGAAGCAGACUGAUCUUUCUAAAACAUGUGUGAUCAUAUCCCUCCUCAGCUGAAAACCCUCCAGUGGCUCCCAUUUCCCCUAAAGGAAAAGCUGAAGUCCUUACAGAGGCUGACAGGGCCUGACAGAACCCGCCCUCCCAAUAUUUCCCCCCUGAUUUGUUGUUCUCCUGCUCAUCUGUCCCUUGUCCUCCUAUAGCCACAGUGAUUGAUCUUCAUGGACACCCAGUGCACUCUUGCCUCAGGGCCUUUGCACUGGCUAUUUCUACUGCCUAGAACAUUCUUCCUCUAGAUAUUUCCAAACGUGGUCUUCACUUCCUUCAGGAUUCUUCUUGAAACACUUCUCAGAGAGGCCGUCCUGUGUAAAACAGUAACCUCCACCUCCCUGCUGUUCCCUGGGCCCCUCGCCCUGCUUGAAGUUUUUCACAGCACUGAUCACCAAUACCAUAACUCGUCUUUUUCAUUUUUUGGUAUAUUUUCCGUCUCCUCCCCAAUUUGAAUGAAAUCUCCAUGAGGACAGAGGCUCUGGGA